Molecule: non-coding RNA, 225 nt
Filed under: Pseudomonas alkylphenolica
Lineage: Bacteria; Pseudomonadati; Pseudomonadota; Gammaproteobacteria; Pseudomonadales; Pseudomonadaceae
Source: RNAcentral
CCUUCGCGACUUGUUUCAGGUGCUCUGUGGGCUGUGGUCUGGCAGGGUGAAACAGGGAAGCCGGUGGGUGCGCAAUUGCGUGCGAGUCCGGCGCUGCCCCCGCAACGGUAGGUGAGUCAAGGCCGCGCAUGGCCACUGGGUGAUCGCACCCGGGAAGGCGCGCGACCCCGGGUGUUGAUGACCCCGCUCACAAGCCCGGAGACCGGCCUGUAACAGUCAACGGCA